UACGUAGGGGGCGAGCGUUGUCCGGAUUUACUGGGCGUAAAGAGCGCGUAGGCGGCCUUUUAAGUUGGCUGUGAAAUCUCCUGGCUCAACUGGGAGCAGUCGGCCGAUACUGGGGGGCUUGAGGGCGGUAGAGGAAGGUGGAAUUCCGGGUGUAGUGGUGAAAUGCGUAGAGAUCCGGAGGAACACCGGUGGCGAAGGCGGCCUUCUGGGCCGUACCUGACGCUGAGGCGCGAAAGCGUGGGGAGCGAACUGAAUUAGAUACUCAGGUAGUCCACGCCCUAAACGAUGGACGCUAGGUGUUGGGGGUAUCGACCCCUCCGGUGCCGAAGCUAACGCAUUAAGCGUCCCGCCUGGGGAGUACGGCCGCAAGGCUAAA
RNAcentral lists this ribosomal RNA (376 nucleotides) under uncultured bacterium. RNAcentral describes it as "bacterial SSU rRNA". It matches the Rfam family "Bacterial small subunit ribosomal RNA", at positions 524 to 898 of the family's 1533-position model. The record is from RNAcentral.